RNAcentral lists this transfer RNA (66 nucleotides) under Schistosoma incognitum. Its description in RNAcentral is "tRNA-Lys". It matches the Rfam family "tRNA". From Rfam's summary of the family: Transfer RNA (tRNA) molecules are approximately 80 nucleotides in length. Their secondary structure includes four short double-helical elements and three loops (D, anti-codon, and T loops). The record is from RNAcentral. Lineage: Eukaryota; Metazoa; Platyhelminthes; Trematoda; Strigeidida; Schistosomatidae.
UUGAUAGUAGCUUAAGUUAAAGUGGAGGAUUCUUGAUCCUUAGAUGUCUAUGGACGACCUAUUAAA